CCUACGGGGGGCAGCAGUGAGGAAUAUUGGUCAAUGGACGAGAGUCUGAACCAGCCAAGUAGCGUGAAGGAUGACUGCCCUAUGGGUUGUAAACUUCUUUUAUAUGGGAAUAAAAUGUUCCACGUGUGGGAUUUUGUAUGUACCAUAUGAAUAAGGAUCGGCUAACUCCGUGCCAGCAGCCGCGGUAAUACGGAGGAUCCGAGCGUUAUCCGGAUUUAUUGGGUUUAAAGGGAGCGUAGGUGGAUUGUUAAGUCAGUUGUGAAAGUUUGCGGCUCAACCGUAAAAUUGCAGUUGAAACUGGCAGUCUUGAGUACAGUAGAGGUGGGCGGAAUUCGUGGUGUAGCGGUGAAAUGCUUAGAUAUCACGAAGAACUCCGAUUGUGAAGGCAGUUCACUGGACUGCAACUGACACUGAGGCUCGAAAGUGAGGGUAUCAAACAGGAUUAGAUACCCCUGUAGUC
Molecule: ribosomal RNA, 460 nt
Filed under: uncultured bacterium
Lineage: Bacteria
Description: partial 16S ribosomal RNA
Rfam family: Bacterial small subunit ribosomal RNA
Source: RNAcentral